CUGCCCUCGCCCCCGUCGUCGCCCCACCACUGCUCGCCGAUCCGCCGACUCCAUCGCCGUUCCUCUCUGGCCUCCGCCACCGCCGGCUCUCUCCGCCCUCCGUCGCGCUGUUCUUCUUCCUCUCCCCAUCCUCUCCUAAUCUUCUCCGGCGCGCGCACUCGCGGAUGCAGGCGAAUGGCUCGGGCAGGAGACGUGGCUCACAAUGGCGGCGUCUCUCCUCGGGAGGAGCUCGGGCAUUGAGGUCGGGGUGUGCGCUGCCCCUAGGACGGAGUCCACCUACCCGUGCUGGUCAUGGUCCACCACCACCAUGCCUUCAAUCCGACCUCCACCACUCCAGCAAGCACGAGCAUCGCAAUGGCCACGGUUUGUAUGCUAAGAUGAACUUGAGUGACGAGGUUGAUUUGGAAGAUCAUGUCUCCAGACAGGAUAAAGUCAGUGCUGCUAUGUGAGUUGAUUUGCAAGAUUGUGUCCAAAUAGGAUAAAAUCAAUCCUGAUGAUGUGAGUGCCUUUUCAUUAUCUUGAACAUUCUUUUUCACUUGUACAACUUCAGCAUAGGAAAUUUCAUUGCCUCAGCUUAAUUAGAAAAUGAUAAUGAUUUCUAAACCAUUUACUCUUAAAAGCUUAUCAUAGCAAAUGCGGAAAAUGAAUGAGAUCAGGAAGGUAGGCGGACGACUUGACCAUAAGGUCGGAUGUUUUCCUGAGUAGUAAGCAGCAGAUCUGCCUUUCUUGGGGGAAAGCCGGUGGCCCUUUUGUCAUGUUAAUUCUUUUGACGGGUGCCCUUCUGCUCACCAUACAUUUGUUUCAUAUAUAUUGACACCUAUAAUAGUAGUAGCAACGCCUGAUUAUGAGAUGUUAUGCAAUUGCUUGUGUAAAUUAGGCAGGCCUUUUCUACCUCCUCCUGUGUGUUAUUCACUGUGACAUUCGUUUUCAGUUUGCUGCUAUUUAACAGGAAGCUAGCAUGCCUGUUGUCUGCAAAAAUCGGUAAUGUUAUCCUGCCCAAAGACUUCGAGAAGGGUUACUGAACCAACGUCAAGAAGCCUUAGACAGACUUCGACUUCUACAAAUGAGGCAACAAACUAUUAAUGAGGAUGCUUUAUUUCCUAAGGGCAACAAUUAUUAACACUAGAGUUAAAUUUGUUGACGGUCGCGUCCGACAGUAAUAUCCCUGUAUCUUGGUGCUCCUGUAGUUUGCACAUUCAAUCUCACCAUUGUUGUUAAGCUACUUGCCUACACAAAGCGUCAUGGGAGUUGCUUCCCUGUGAGAGAGAAGAGUUCAAAAAGGGAGAGAGCAAAGAAGAAGGAAAAGGAGAGGGCAGUGGGGUCAUGCGGAGACUGUGGCCGGUGAGGCAUAACUGGAAGUUUCUCUAAUGGUUGACAACAAGGUACCCCACUGCUCUGAAUAUUUACAUGGUUAAUGUGAGUUGAAUCAUCAAAGGUCUGCGCAUUGGUAAUGGUUUAAAAAUUCAUCGCAUUAGAGAAAACUGAAUGGUCUGUCAGUUCUUUAAUAAGUAAUACAUAUUACAGAAUGUACCUUUCUGUUUGAUCAUAGGAUCACUGCACAACAGGCUUUGGAGCAGUCUCUGAUUCACAGAGAACUCUCCAACAACCUCAUAUUUUGAGGAUGUUAGAUGGAUAUUGAAUCCAGUAAGCCUCCAAUAGAUAAAGGAAGGCAAUUUUUCUGUUGGUAAUUUGCACGACAGGGUUCUAGCAAAUUUAUGAUUGUGCCUACAACAGACUACCUCUGCGUGAAGAUUCGAGGUGUGACUCAAAUUUCGUUAGAAAUGAACAAUCAAGAUCUCGGUUUUUGUCAUGCAUAUUCAUAUGAAUUUAUUAUUUAACAGAUCAUAAUUUUUUAUUCUAUAAUUAGAUCUUGGUAUGUUUUCAGAUUUUUCAGAGAAGAAAGAACUCUAGAGGUGUGCAUGUUUGUCCUAUUUUUUAUAGAGAAUCAAGUCUGCAGAAUACCUACUGAUUUGAGGAUUCGGAUGUUACCCAUGGUCAUGCACGGAUGUAGUUUAUGAGCAACUAUCUUAUGUUGAUGGUGUGUAAGCAUAUCAGCCUCCCGGUUGCCUAUUUCAUUCCUCACGGGACCAUUAUGCUUGGCUAAUGGAGGUUGCAGAAGGUGAUGUACCAAUUGCAUCACAUGGAGCUGAAAUUGAAAUGUACAAGGAGCUUGAACCAUCGACUCGCUUACUGAUCUUGAAAGCGAUAUGCGACAUACGUGUCGAGGGUGCGAACGGGGACAAUGAGUAGGUGGCGAGUAAUACUAUGUCGAGAAUCGAUACAGGGGCAUGAAGCAAGCGAGCAGGUGUGCGCAGCGACCCGCUACUGCAAAAAAUAGCCUUUACAGAGCACCGGGCCGGCUCGACAGGGCAUGCCGCCCGCCGGUGGACACGUGGAUGUGCGCGACGGAGAUGAACCCCGCGUCGUCGCCUCUGCAGCCUGGACAGAGCUCCGCCAGUACUAGUGAUGGAGCUCUCCAUCUACUUUCUCCACCUGCUAUGAGAGAGUAGAGAUCAUAUAGUGGAUUUGUUUUUUCUUCAGAGAUGUGCUCCCGUCGUUGUUGGCUGUCGAAUUUGUGAUGCAAUCCGUCUCUAUGUCAAUGUCUUAACCACUUCGUACUUCUGCACAAUCAGCAGAACAUAACAGCUGCCACAGUUUACCCAUUGAUUUCCUGGAGUGAUUCAAACCUAGGAAAGUCUGCUACUUGUGCAAGCAACAGGGUAAGAAGUUUCACUUUUCUUACUAAUGCACCUCAAUUCGUAAGGUUAGAAUAUUUUAUUCACCCAUCCUAUUUUUUACUAUAAUGAUGAUAAUUUUUUCAUCUC
This is a long non-coding RNA of Triticum dicoccoides, 2825 nucleotides long. RefSeq lists it as uncharacterized. The record is from RefSeq and is a predicted model, not a curated record. Lineage: Eukaryota; Viridiplantae; Streptophyta; Magnoliopsida; Poales; Poaceae. The transcript has 5 exons.